Molecule: ribosomal RNA, 315 nt
Filed under: uncultured bacterium
Lineage: Bacteria
Description: bacterial SSU rRNA
Rfam family: Bacterial small subunit ribosomal RNA
Source: RNAcentral
GAUGAACGCUAGCGGCAGGCCUAAUACAUGCAAGUCGAACGGGAUCCAGAUUGUAGCUUGCUACAGUUUGGUGAGAGUGGCGUACGGGUGCGUAACGCGUGAGCAACCUGCCCAUAUCAGGGGUAUAGCCCGGCGAAAGUCGGAUUAACACCGCAUAACAAUGCAGUACCGCAUGGUGCCGUAUUUAAAUAUUUAUAGGAUAUGGAUGGGCUCGCGUGACAUUAGCUAGUUGGUAAGGUAACGGCUUACUAAGGCUAUGAUGUCUAGGGGCUCUGAGAGGAGAAUCCCCCACACUGGUACUGAGACACGGACCAG